This 497-nucleotide ribosomal RNA is filed under the name uncultured bacterium. RNAcentral describes it as "partial 16S ribosomal RNA". It matches the Rfam family "Bacterial small subunit ribosomal RNA", at positions 28 to 507 of the family's 1533-position model. The record is from RNAcentral.
GAUGAACGCUGGCGGCGUGCCUAAUACAUGCAAGUCGAGCGAACAGACGAGGAGCUUACUCCUCUGACGUUAGCGGCGGACGGGUGAGUAACACGUGGAUAACCUACCUAUAAGACUGGGAUAACUUCGGGAAACCGGAGCUAAUACCGGAUAAUAUAUUGAACCGCAUGGUUCAAUAGUGAAAGACGGUUUUGCUGUCACUUAUAGAUGGAUCCGCGCCGCAUUAGCUAGUUGGUAAGGUAACGGCUUACCAAGGCGACGAUGCGUAGCCGACCUGAGAGGGUGAUCGGCCACACUGGAACUGAGACACGGUCCAGACUCCUACGGGAGGCAGCAGUAGGGAAUCUUCCGCAAUGGGCGAAAGCCUGACGGAGCAACGCCGCGUGAGUGAUGAAGGUCUUCGGAUCGUAAAACUCUGUUAUUAGGGAAGAACAAAUGUGUAAGUAACUAUGCACGUCUUGACGGUACCUAAUCAGAAAGCCACGGCUAACUACGUG